This 253-nucleotide ribosomal RNA is filed under the name uncultured bacterium. RNAcentral describes it as "partial 16S ribosomal RNA". It matches the Rfam family "Bacterial small subunit ribosomal RNA", at positions 524 to 776 of the family's 1533-position model. The record is from RNAcentral.
UACGUAGGGUGCAAGCGUUAAUCGGAAUUACUGGGCGUAAAGCGCACGUAGGCGGCUUGGUAUGUCGGGUGUGAAAUCCCCGGGCUCAACCCGGGAACUGCAUCCGAAACUGCCUUGCUAGAGUAUGGGAGAGGGAAGUGGAAUUUCCGGUGUAGCGGUGAAAUGCGUAGAUAUCGGAAGGAACAUCAGUGGCGAAGGCGACUUCCUGGACCAAUACUGACGCUCAGGUGCGAAAGCGUGGGGAGCAAACAGG